This 1267-nucleotide long non-coding RNA is filed under the name Mytilus galloprovincialis (Mediterranean mussel). Lineage: Eukaryota; Metazoa; Mollusca; Bivalvia; Mytilida; Mytilidae. The record is from RNAcentral.
AAAUCCACCUCAGAAUGGGAGGUCACUUUUUUACAGUAGAAAAUGCCAUUUUAAGGGAGAUAAUAAAAAGUCUGAAAUGAAUUUAUAUUAAAUUUGUCAUUAAAUCAAACCAAUCAAGAACCAGUCAUAAUUUGUUCAAACAUAAAAUGAAGGCAGAAUUGAGAAUGAAAAUGGGUAAUGUGUCAAUGAGACAAAACCAGACCAAUAAGCAUUACACAGCCCGAGGCCACUAAUUAGUCUGUAACUCCGCAAGAAAAUUAUACACCGGAGGCGGGCUUCAGCUGACCCUUAAACAUAUAUUUUUCUAGUUCAGUGAAUAGAGAUGUCACACUUGACUGAAAAAGAGCGAGUAAGGUGGGUGUUACCAUGAACUCCCAUAACUAUGGUAAUUUAAGAGGGGCUUCGUGUAAUUCUUAGUUCGUAAAACCUUUCAUUCAUCCCCAUCAUAUUUCACACCUAUCGAGGAUUUGAUUCACAUUUAUUGAUUGAAGCUACUGGAAUAUUUAAAUAUCCAAUAUACCCUCAUUUUCCAGUGGCAGUCCAAAGUAGUAUAGUACUUGAGCGAGUCCAGGGCACCCCCCCCCCCCAAAAAAAAAUUUUUUUGACCCCUAAAAAAUUACCCUCAUUUCAAGUAAAAAAAGCCCUAAAUUUUCAUAAAAAAAGCAAAAAAACACCCAAAAAACACCAAAUUUUCUUACUCCCAAAAAAUUUUUUUUUUUACUUUUUUAUAAAAAAAACGUUAUUAACACCAAAACAAAAAAAAAAAUUCAACAAAAAAACCGGGAGAACAGGCAGAGAAAGAAUUCUGUGGGAUUUAAGAGAAAAAAAAUCAAUUUUUACUUUAAAAAAUGAAACAACCUACAGCUCCUGAUUUAUAUCCAGAAUUACCUAUAGAAGAUGGACAAAAUUAUAGACUACAAAAAAUAACAGAAAUAGAAAAAAACAUUAAUAAAUGAGAGAGAUAAACGUAAAUCACUAUACAAAAAAUAUAAACGCGGAGUUAAUGUUACUGAUGGUGUUGAUACAAGUUUAAUUUCGACAUCUGUUGUUUUAGCUGGUAUAGGAAUAGCUUUUCCUAUCUUACUUCCCAUACAAAUUGCAGCUGUUGUAUGUGGAAGUUUAGGAGGUCUAGUUAAAUUAAUUAGAAGAAAGUUGACAACAAAAUCAAAAAAAACAUUAUGAAAUUAAAACAAUGGCAGAAUGCAAGUUAAACAGCAUAAAAGAUUUAAUAUCAAAAUCUUUAACUGACGGACAGAUAAGUGCAGAA